CACGCCGUAAACGAUGAAUGCUAGGUGUUGGGGGUCAAACCUCGGUGCCGAAGUUAACACAUUAAGCAUUCCGCCUGGGGAGUACGGUGGCAACACUGAAACUCAAAGGAAUUGACGGGGACCCGCACAAGCAGCGGAGCAUGUGGUUUAAUUCGAUGCAACGCGAAGAACCUUACCAGGGCUUGACAUAUAUGCGCUAGCACUAGAGAUAGUGUUUUCUCUUCGGAGACUGAGAGACAGGUGG
Molecule: ribosomal RNA, 244 nt
Filed under: uncultured Eubacteriales bacterium
Lineage: Bacteria; Bacillati; Bacillota; Clostridia; Eubacteriales
Description: uncultured Clostridiales bacterium partial 16S ribosomal RNA
Rfam family: Bacterial small subunit ribosomal RNA
Source: RNAcentral